Scaptodrosophila lebanonensis is the source of this 99-nucleotide small nuclear RNA. The record is from RefSeq and is a predicted model, not a curated record. Lineage: Eukaryota; Metazoa; Arthropoda; Insecta; Diptera; Drosophilidae.
AUCCCAGCAGUAGGGCAUACCGGUCCAAAUUGGAACGAUACAGAGGAGACUAGAAGGGCCCCUGCGCAAGGAUGACGCACAAAAACAUAUUUGUAUUUU